GGGUUGUGAGGUUAAGCGACUAAGCGUACACGGUGGAUGCCCUGGCAGUCAGAGGCGAUGAAGGACGUGCUAAUCUGCGAAAAGCGUCGGUAAGGUGAUAUGAACCGUUAUAACCGGCGAUGUCCGAAUGGGGAAACCCAGUGCAAUUCGUUGCACUAUCGUUAACUGAAUACAUAGGUUAACGAGGCGAACCGGGGGAACUGAAACAUCUAAGUACCCCGAGGAAAAGAAAUCAACCGAGAUUCCCCCAGUAGCGGCGAGCGAACGGGGAGCAGCCCAGAGUCUGAAUCAGCUUGUGUGUUAGUGGAACGGUCUGGAAAGUCCGACGGUACAGGGUGAUAGUCCCGUACACCAAAAUGCACAGGUUGUGAACUCGAAGAGUAGGGCGGGACACGUGGUAUCCUGUCUGAAUAUGGGGGGACCAUCCUCCAAGGCUAAAUACUCCUGACUGACCGAUAGUGAACCAGUACCGUGAGGGAAAGGCGAAAAGAACCCCGGCGAGGGGAGUGAAAAAGAACCUGAAACCGUGUACGUACAAGCAGUGGGAGCACCUUCGGGUGUGACUGCGUACCUUUUGUAUAAUGGGUCAGCGACUUAUAUUCUGUAGCAAGGUUAACCGUAUAGGGGAGCCGCAGGGAAACCGAGUCUUAACUGGGCGUUAAGUUGCAGGGUAUAGACCCGAAACCCGGUGAUCUAGCCAUGGGCAGGUUGAAGGUUGGGUAACACUAACUGGAGGACCGAACCGACUAAUGUUGAAAAAUUAGCGGAUGACUUGUGGCUGGGGGUGAAAGGCCAAUCAAACCGGGAGAUAGCUGGUUCUCCCCGAAAGCUAUUUAGGUAGCGCCUCGUGAAUUCAUCUUCGGGGGUAGAGCACUGUUUCGGCUAGGGGGUCAUCCCGACUUACCAACCCGAUGCAAACUACGAAUACCGAAGAAUGUUAUCACGGGAGACACACGGCGGGUGCUAACGUCCGUCGUGAAGAGGGAAACAACCCAGACCGCCAGCUAAGGUCCCAAAGUCAUGGUUAAGUGGGAAACGAUGUGGGAAGGCACAGACAGCCAGGAUGUUGGCUUAGAAGCAGCCAUCAUUUAAAGAAAGCGUAAUAGCUCACUGGUCGAGUCGGCCUGCGCGGAAGAUGUAACGGGGCUAAACCAUGCACCGAAGCUGCGGCAGCGACACUAUGUGUUGUUGGGUAGGGGAGCGUUCUGUAAGCCUGCGAAGGUGACCUGUGAGGGUUGCUGGAGGUAUCAGAAGUGCGAAUGCUGACAUAAGUAACGAUAAAGCGGGUGAAAAGCCCGCUCGCCGGAAGACCAAGGGUUCCUGUCCAACGUUAAUCGGGGCAGGGUGAGUCGACCCCUAAGGCGAGGCCGAAAGGCGUAGUCGAUGGGAAACAGGUUAAUAUUCCUGUACUUGGUGUUACUGCGAAGGGGGGACGGAGAAGGCUAUGUUAGCCGGGCGACGGUUGUCCCGGUUUAAGCAUGUAGGCUGGUUGUCCAGGCAAAUCCGGAUAAUCAAGGCUGAGGUGUGAUGACGAGGCACUACGGUGCUGAAGUAACAAAUGCCCUGCUUCCAGGAAAAGCCUCUAAGCAUCAGGUAACAUCAAAUCGUACCCCAAACCGACACAGGUGGUCAGGUAGAGAAUACCAAGGCGCUUGAGAGAACUCGGGUGAAGGAACUAGGCAAAAUGGUGCCGUAACUUCGGGAGAAGGCACGCUGGUGUGUAGGUGAAGCCCCUGCGGGUGGAGCUGAGACCAGUCGAAGAUACCAGCUGGCUGCAACUGUUUAUUAAAAACACAGCACUGUGCAAACACGAAAGUGGACGUAUACGGUGUGACGCCUGCCCGGUGCCGGAAGGUUAAUUGAUGGGGUUAUCCGUAAGGAGAAGCUCUUGAUCGAAGCCCCGGUAAACGGCGGCCGUAACUAUAACGGUCCUAAGGUAGCGAAAUUCCUUGUCGGGUAAGUUCCGACCUGCACGAAUGGCGUAAUGAUGGCCAGGCUGUCUCCACCCGAGACUCAGUGAAAUUGAACUCGCUGUGAAGAUGCAGUGUACCCGCGGCAAGACGGAAAGACCCCGUGAACCUUUACUAUAGCUUGACACUGAACAUUGAGCCUUGAUGUGUAGGAUAGGUGGGAGGCUUUGAAGCGUGGACGCCAGUCUGCGUGGAGCCAACCUUGAAAUACCACCCUUUAAUGUUUGAUGUUCUAACGUUGGCCCCUUAUCGGGGUUGCGGACAGUGUCUGGUGGGUAGUUUGACUGGGGCGGUCUCCUCCCAAAGCGUAACGGAGGAGCACGAAGGUUAGCUAAUCCUGGUCGGACAUCAGGAGGUUAGUGCAAUGGCAUAAGCUAGCUUGACUGCGAGCGUGACGGCGCGAGCAGGUGCGAAAGCAGGUCAUAGUGAUCCGGUGGUUCUGAAUGGAAGGGCCAUCGCUCAACGGAUAAAAGGUACUCCGGGGAUAACAGGCUGAUACCGCCCAAGAGUUCAUAUCGACGGCGGUGUUUGGCACCUCGAUGUCGGCUCAUCACAUCCUGGGGCUGAAGUAGGUCCCAAGGGUAUGGCUGUUCGCCAUUUAAAGUGGUACGCGAGCUGGGUUUAGAACGUCGUGAGACAGUUCGGUCCCUAUCUGCCGUGGGCGCUGGAGAAUUGAGGGGGGCUGCUCCUAGUACGAGAGGACCGGAGUGGACGCAUCACUGGUGUUCGGGUUGUCAUGCCAAUGGCACUGCCCGGUAGCUAAAUGCGGAAGAGAUAAGUGCUGAAAGCAUCUAAGCACGAAACUUGCCCCGAGAUGAGUUCUCCCUGAGACUUUAAGUCUCCUGAAGGAACGUUGAAGACGACGACGUUGAUAGGCCGGGUGUGUAAGCGCAGCGAUGCGUUGAGCUAACCGGUACUAAUGAACCGUGAGGCUUAACCUUACAACGCCGAAG
RNAcentral lists this ribosomal RNA (2923 nucleotides) under Klebsiella pneumoniae. RNAcentral's name for it is "bacterial LSU rRNA". It matches the Rfam family "Bacterial large subunit ribosomal RNA". Lineage: Bacteria; Pseudomonadati; Pseudomonadota; Gammaproteobacteria; Enterobacterales; Enterobacteriaceae. The record is from RNAcentral.